GACGUAGGGCGCGAGCGUUGUCCGGAUUUAUUGGGCGUAAAGAGCGCGCAGGCGGUCGUUCAAGUCGCGUGUGAAAGCCCCCGGCUCAACUGGGGAGGGUCACGCGAUACUGAUCGACUCGAAGGCAGGAGAGGGAAGUGGAAUUCCCGGUGUAGUGGUGAAAUGCGUAGAUAUCGGGAGGAACACCAGUGGCGAAGGCGACUUCCUGGCCUGUUCUUGACGCUGAGGCACGAAAGCGUGGGGAGCAAACAGG
RNAcentral lists this ribosomal RNA (253 nucleotides) under uncultured bacterium. RNAcentral's name for it is "partial 16S ribosomal RNA". It matches the Rfam family "Bacterial small subunit ribosomal RNA", at positions 524 to 776 of the family's 1533-position model. The record is from RNAcentral.